Molecule: transfer RNA, 74 nt
Organism: Marchantia polymorpha subsp. polymorpha
Lineage: Eukaryota; Viridiplantae; Streptophyta; Marchantiopsida; Marchantiales; Marchantiaceae
Rfam family: tRNA
About the family: Transfer RNA (tRNA) molecules are approximately 80 nucleotides in length. Their secondary structure includes four short double-helical elements and three loops (D, anti-codon, and T loops). Further hydrogen bonds mediate the characteristic L-shaped molecular structure. tRNAs have two regions of fundamental functional importance: the anti-codon, which is responsible for specific mRNA codon recognition, and the 3' end, to which the tRNAs corresponding amino acid is attached (by aminoacyl-tRNA synthetases). tRNAs cope with the degeneracy of the genetic code in two manners: having more than one tRNA (with a specific anti-codon) for a particular amino acid; and 'wobble' base-pairing, i.e. permitting non-standard base-pairing at the 3rd anti-codon position.
Source: Rfam
GUUUCCGUGGUGUAGUUGGUUAUCACAUCAGUCUAACACACUGAAGGUCUCCAGUUCGAAUCUGGACGGAAACA